This 300-nucleotide unclassified non-coding RNA is filed under the name plant metagenome. Its description in RNAcentral is "partial contains 5.8S ribosomal RNA, internal transcribed spacer 2, and large subunit ribosomal RNA". The stretch from base 1 to 105 matches the Rfam family "5.8S ribosomal RNA", at positions 50 to 154 of the family's 154-position model. The record is from RNAcentral.
AAAAUGCGAUAAGUAAUGUGAAUUGCUGAAUUCAGUGAAUCAUCGAAUCUUUGAACGCACAUUGCGCCCGCCAGUAUUCUGGCGGGCAUGCCUGUUCGAGCGUCAUUUCAACCCUCAAGCUCAGCUUGGUGUUGGGACUCGCGGUAACCCGCGUUCCCCAAAUCGAUUGGCGGUCACGUCGAGCUUCCAUAGCGUAGUAAUCAUACACCUCGUUACUGGUAAUCGUCGCGGCCACGCCGUAAAACCCCAACUUCUGAAUGUUGACCUCGGAUCAGGUAGGAAUACCCGCUGAACUUAAGC